UAACAUCUGAUACGAUUUUAGAGCCUGGCUCAGAGAGCUUGCUCUCUGGGUGGUGAGUGGCGGACGGGUGAGGAAUACAUCGGAAUCUACUCUGUCGUGGGGGAUAACGUAGGGAAACUUACGCUAAUACCGCAUACGACCUACGGGUGAAAGCAGGGGACCUUCGGGCCUUGCGCGAUUGAAUGAGCCGAUGUCGGAUUAGCUAGUUGGCGGGGUAAAGGCCCACCAAGGCGACGAUCCGUAGCUGGUCUGAGAGGAUGAUCAGCCACACUGGAACUGAGACACGGUCCAGACUCCUACGGGAGGCAGCAGUGGGGAAUAUUGGACAAUGGGCGCAAGCCUGAUCCAGCCAUACCGCGUGGGUGAAGAAGGCCUUCGGGUUGUAAAGCCCUUUUGUUGGGAAAGAAAUCCAGCUGGCUAAUACCCGGUUGGGAUGACGGUACCCAAAGAAUAAGCACCGGCUAACUUCGUGCCAGCAGCCGCGGUAAUACGAAGGGUGCAAGCGUUACUCGGAAUUACUGGGCGUAAAGCGUGCGUAUGUGGGCCUUUAGUCCGUUGUGAGAGCCCUGUGCGCUCCCUGGGAAAAAGGUUGUAUACUGGGGACUAGAGUGUGUGGGAGGGUGGGGGGAAAA
Molecule: ribosomal RNA, 632 nt
Filed under: Stenotrophomonas geniculata
Lineage: Bacteria; Pseudomonadati; Pseudomonadota; Gammaproteobacteria; Lysobacterales; Lysobacteraceae
Description: bacterial SSU rRNA
Rfam family: Bacterial small subunit ribosomal RNA
Source: RNAcentral